GACGAACGCUGGCGGCGUGCCUAAUACAUGCAAGUAGGACGCACAGUUUAUACCGUAGCUUGCUACACCAUAGACUGUGAGUUGCGAACGGGUGAGUAACGCGUAGGUAACCUGCCUAUUAGAGGGGGAUAACUAUUGGAAACGAUAGCUAAUACCGCAUAACAGUAUGUAACACAUGUUAGAUGCUUGAAAGAUGCAAUUGCAUCGCUAGUAGAUGGACCUGCGUUGUAUUAGCUAGUAGGUAGGGUAAUGGCCUACCUAGGCGACGAUACAUAGCCGACCUGAGAGGGUGAUCGGCCACACUGGGACUGAGACACGGCCCAGACUCCUACGGGAGGCAGCAGUAGGGAAUCUUCGGCAAUGGGGGGAACCCUGACCGAGCAACGCCGCGUGAGUGAAGAAGGUUUUCGGAUCGUAAAGC
RNAcentral lists this ribosomal RNA (421 nucleotides) under Streptococcus anginosus. RNAcentral's name for it is "bacterial SSU rRNA". It matches the Rfam family "Bacterial small subunit ribosomal RNA", at positions 28 to 431 of the family's 1533-position model. Lineage: Bacteria; Bacillati; Bacillota; Bacilli; Lactobacillales; Streptococcaceae. The record is from RNAcentral.